Molecule: long non-coding RNA, 1668 nt
Organism: Oncorhynchus tshawytscha (Chinook salmon)
Lineage: Eukaryota; Metazoa; Chordata; Actinopteri; Salmoniformes; Salmonidae
Exons: 2
Source: RefSeq, a predicted model, not a curated record
AUAACUACAAGCAGUUUAUAUUCAUUCAACUUGUUGAAGCAGUCAGACUGCGUCUGGGAUAGAGACAGGAAUGGGAAUCCUCUACAGGGGACAUGAUUUUUAAGAUGAAGAAUAUCAUUUGCAUGGACUUUUUUGGUAGUAUGGAUUAAACAAUUGACACUUUCACACUGUUUAAAAUGGCAAGUGCAGACAGUGAAGUGAAAACGUUACUGAACUUUGUAAACUUGGCAUCCAGUGACAUCAAAGCAGCUCUAGACAAAUCAGCCCCUUGCAGGCGCUCUGUGGACCACAGGAAAUACCUGCAGAAACAGCUCAAGCGUUUUUCUCAGAAAUACUCUCGGAUGCCCAGAUGCCACACACACAGGUCCGCGGAGUCUGGCAUCGUCAAAGCCCUGGUGGACAAAUCUAGCGCGUAUUCUUUGGAGACAAUUCACCAGAGCAUGACGCCCAUCAAUGAAAAAGGAGGUUCGGGUGCGCAAGACGAGGUGAACGUAAGGAUGGGUCAGAACCCAAUUGCAGACAGUGCUAACAGCAAGCAAGAUCAGGUACCCAUGAGGAAACGUCAACUCCCUGCAUCGUUUUGGGAGGAACCCCGGUUAGCCCAAACCAAUACAGAACCUUCACUGUAUGGAUUGAACAAGAGCCAAGGUGUGACCCGAAUCAAUAGGGUUGAAAAAAAAAUCAAAAAUCACCAGGAACCAAAACCGACCUUGUUUCAAUCCAAUCGACUUGGCUCUAUCGAAAAAGAACCGCUCAACGUGGACUUGGUCUCUCACAAUGUCAGUGUGUGCGGUUGCUGUCCGUUUCAGUACCAUGGACACCACGUCUUCCAGAGUCACAUAGUUGUUCCCCACUCAACUGUGGGACUCUGGGGAAAAGCCUCAGUGGCUGAAAUUGAAACGCCUGAUAUGGCACACGGACAUAAUAACCAAACGCAUGUCGUGGUCAAACCCAUACCGACCAAACCCACGGUCCCCUCAUCGAUCUUCAGCGUGUUUGGCUUCAUUUAAACACAAUUAUGCACGUAUAAAUACAUUUUAAAUAGGCAAUUCUUCAUUUAAAUAAGCAACAAUGAAGAUGUAAAUAUGAAUUAGUUGACUUUGCAAUGCCAUAUGUUUUUAUUUAAAACUUGGUAUUUCUCUUUUUUUUAAGAGUAGUCAGUCAUUGGCACUUAAGUCUUUCAGACCAAAUAGGCUAUUUCUGCUCGGAAGACCUGCAACGUUAGCCUACCUACCACUUGGCUUCCAUAGAAUCUAAGAAGAAUUCAUGAUAAAAUCAUAGCACUGUAUAAAACUGAAAAAUGUAGACUAUACUUCAUCAUCCUUCUCUCUAAUUCUAUACUUUACAUGUGUUGGUAUAGGAUUGGAGUGACAUUCGAAGUUGUCCAUUCUUUGAUUAUUUGUGAUCAGCUAUGCUGAAGGAAAGGUCUGCUUGUGUGUUGAUUACUUCAUGGUGUUUGUGUAGGCUAUAUAUUUCUAAAAUACACUGAUUUAAAAACUAAUUGAUCGAAAUGACUUGUUGUAGUUCACUGAUAUUUUUCCACAAAAGGUAAACAGACUGACAGUGACGUUUCCCCCCCAGAAUUUCUGGAUAUUUUCUGUUUGUAAAUAAUACUUGUUAAAUGGAGAAUUUACAUUUAUUUUUUUAAAUAAAAUGCAGAUGUUUCGA